This 550-nucleotide ribosomal RNA is filed under the name fungal sp. GZ-2010a. Its description in RNAcentral is "eukaryotic LSU rRNA". The stretch from base 229 to 382 matches the Rfam family "5.8S ribosomal RNA". The record is from RNAcentral. Lineage: Eukaryota; Fungi.
UGGAAGUAAAAAGUCGUAACAAGGUCUCCGUUGGUGAACCAGCGGAGGGAUCAUUACUGAGUUUACGCUCUACAACCCUUUGUGAACAUACCUAUAACUGUUGCUUCGGCGGGUAGGGUCUCCGCGACCCUCCCGGCCUCCCGCCUCCGGGCGGGUCGGCGCCCGCCGGAGGAUAACCAAACUCUGAUUUAACGACGUUUCUUCUGAGUGGUACAAGCAAAUAAUCAAAACUUUUAACAACGGAUCUCUUGGUUCUGGCAUCGAUGAAGAACGCAGCGAAAUGCGAUAAGUAAUGUGAAUUGCAGAAUUCAGUGAAUCAUCGAAUCUUUGAACGCACAUUGCGCCCGCCAGCAUUCUGGCGGGCAUGCCUGUUCGAGCGUCAUUUCAACCCUCAAGCUCUGCUUGGUGUUGGGGCCCUACAGCUGAUGUAGGCCCUCAAAGGUAGUGGCGGACCCUCUCGGAGCCUCCUUUGCGUAGUAACUUUACGUCUCGCACUGGGAUCCGGAGGGACUCUUGCCGUAAAACCCCCAAUUUUCCAAAGGUUGACCUC